Molecule: long non-coding RNA, 515 nt
Filed under: Bos mutus (wild yak)
Lineage: Eukaryota; Metazoa; Chordata; Mammalia; Artiodactyla; Bovidae
Description: lncRNA (ENSBMUG00000011447.1)
Source: RNAcentral
CCAGCUUCCGCUAUCCAGAAAACAGUUCCCUGUCUCUCAAAGCUGCAGAAAGCGGUGUAGAAGCGGCGAGUAGAAACUGAGGAACUGUAAGAUGGACACCCUGCGGGUGAAAGCGCCCUCGGACUCGACCUGGGCGCCCCUCUAGGGCACAGCGAGUGCCUGCGUCAGACACCUCCCCGGCGCAGGGAGUGAGGAAAGGGCCUGCCCCCGGGCGUUCAAAGAGAUCCGUUCAGGAAAGAAGGGAGGGCGCGUUUCCGAAGCUCCGACUUCAGGACCUUCUGGAAGCGCUCCGCGGGUAGAGGAGGAGCCAGGCAAGUGCCGGAAACGGAAGUGGGUCACAGAAGAGGGGGCGCCCCGCCCCCCGCCGAGGCCCCGCCUGCCGGGAGCAGGAGCUCCGCCCCUGGCAAAGGUCAUGAGGAAGGAGGCUGGGCAUACGCAAAGGUGGGAUCGAGCCUCAGGAGUCCCCCUGGAAAUUCUCGAGCAUCUACCCCCAAAACCAGAGUCUGCCUACUUUC